AAAUGCUCUGUUACAGAGUACUGGUUUGAGCUAACAGUGUGGCCACUAAUAUCAGUGUAUAUUGUUGGGACUGCCUUGAGGAAGUACUGGUGAAUGCCAUUUNNNNNNNNNNNNGUGCUCCCAAUGUACCCCAUCCAGGGGAUUCACCACACCAGGAAAGUAGUCACCAAAAGCUAGUCUAUUGAUCCUGUGACUUAUAUUAUAACUAUACGAUUUAACAGACAGCAAAUCUUUCACAUGGACAUUUGAGUGAUGAAGGCUUUUCCCAGGUAC
Molecule: unclassified non-coding RNA, 273 nt
Filed under: Hevea brasiliensis (rubber tree)
Lineage: Eukaryota; Viridiplantae; Streptophyta; Magnoliopsida; Malpighiales; Euphorbiaceae
Source: RNAcentral